RNAcentral lists this long non-coding RNA (1598 nucleotides) under Heterocephalus glaber (naked mole-rat). RNAcentral describes it as "lncRNA (ENSHGLG00000040960.1)". Lineage: Eukaryota; Metazoa; Chordata; Mammalia; Rodentia; Bathyergidae. The record is from RNAcentral.
CCCGCGCACCGCAUGGGCUGCCCGGGGCACCGGCACCUCGUUUCCAGCUCUCCACGGCCCUGACAGCUGAGCCCCUGCUGUCUCAGAGCCACGGGCUCGCCUCCCGUGGGGCAGACACCUUCCGGAUGCAGCCUGGGCGCCCUGGGCUCCCUUCCCCUGGUGCGAGGGUGGCCCAGCAGCCACCGCCAGACUCCAAAGGCCCCCGGCUGUGUAGACGGGGGCUGCUGCCUGCCCCACUGCAGCCCCGCUCUCUGCUCCCUCUUUUUCCAUCUCUGUGAAAACCCUGCCUUGAAAAGAAGAAAUGAGGUACUUUUAAAGAACAGACAAAACACAGCAAAACCCCAAACUUCCUGCAUUAUUGCUCUGUUAUUGACAAUGGGCAAAAAAAUUAAGUAGGCCUGAUAUGGUUGAUGAAAAUACGUAAGUAAACUUUAUACAAUAUAAAUAUAUACAUAUAUAAAUAUAUAUAAAUAUAUAUAUAUGCUGUAUAGGUAGUAUUUGUGUGUGAAAGACAAGCGUUUCAGUACACAAAUUAGCAAUAGAGACCGUCCAAGGACCUCCUCUUACCUGAUAGGAAGACAGUGCUUAGAUGAGUGUGAGAAAGUAGACCAAACACUUCCCCGCUAGGAACAAAUCCAGAUCCCUCCAUAUUUUCAUACAAAAAAAUAAAUAAAUAAAUAAAGGUCCCUCCAGGACUAAAAUCUUACACCAUCAUUACUAACUGUGCCAAGUACAUAGCAUCUGUCUGAAACUCCAUACUGCUUUGUAUAAAUCCUUAUUUUAUUAACAGAUACUACCCUAAAUAACCAGUAUUAUAACGGCUCUGUUAUUUCAGGUGAGCAUCUAGGUAGAACGCAGUCAGCUCUCAGUAGCAAGUGGAGACAGGUAGCUAAGAUCUGGUCAUCCCGGGGCAUCGGUUGCAAGCUCCUUAGCACUUCGUGUGAAGCCCUCCCUCUCCACUGCCCUCUCUGCAUUCGGUUGGAUGCACUCAUCCCACUCCCAGAAGGUCCAAGCAGCACAGGGCCCAUCUCCGCCAUGACAGUGGUCCACCCAUCUGACAACACAGCUCCCUCCCCUGGCCCUGCCCAGCAGGCAGGACCCCAAGAGCGAGAGCAGACCCUCAUGAAGUGCUAAGGCUCUCAAAGGCAGCCCCUGGCGGGGGAUGGUGUGUGUCCCAUGCUGUGUCCAGAGUGGUAGCAGUGAUCACUGUAAUUCCACGUAGCCAUGUGCUCACCAAAACCGCCCCCCCCAUGUCAUCACUGUGGCCACCAUUGUGACCCUGGCUGUCAAGCAGCUGGCCCUUGCCAGGCAAAUCCCCGCUGCCUCCCCUGGUCCCGUGAGCUGCCCGGGCAUCACAUGACUCUUAGCUGUGCUCUUGUCGCUUCUGUGUUGUGGUGACACCAUGCGCUGCACACCCACCAGCACUAGAGAGCAAGCCCAGCAAGCCAGAGUUUAGCCUUUUGUGACGGCAGUGACUGCACUGCCCGGCCCUGUCCUCCCAGGGUGGCGUUUCUUUCUCGGCCAUCAGCUCAGAAAGCACAGUGACAGCAUGGGUGUGUCCCAUCUGGUCUGGGCCAGGCGCCUUGUGUCUCCAUCUG